RNAcentral lists this ribosomal RNA (253 nucleotides) under uncultured bacterium. RNAcentral's name for it is "partial 16S ribosomal RNA". It matches the Rfam family "Bacterial small subunit ribosomal RNA", at positions 524 to 776 of the family's 1533-position model. The record is from RNAcentral.
UACGUAGGGUGCAAGCGUUGUCCGGAAUUAUUGGGCGUAAAGAGCUCGUAGGCGGUUCGUCGCGUCGGCUGUGAAAUCCCGAGGCUCAACCUCGGGUCUGCAGUCGAUACGGGCGGACUGGAGUUCGGCAGGGGAGACUGGAAUUCCUGGUGUAGCGGUGAAAUGCGCAGAUAUCAGGAGGAACACCGGUGGCGAAGGCGGGUCUCUGGGCCGAUACUGACGCUGAGGAGCGAAAGCGUGGGUAGCAAACAGG